UUCCUACCCCCAGGCAGAUUGACACUUCCUUCCAACUUGGUGUCAUCCACAAACUUACUGAGGGUGCACUCAAUGCCUUUAUCCAGGUUACCAAUAAAGAUAUUGGACAAAAUAGGCCCCAGUACCAACCACUGGGGAACACCACUCGUGAUUGGUUGCCAGCUGGAUGUGACUUCAAUUACCACCACUUUCUAGGCCCAGACAUCCAGCCAAUUCUUUACCUAGCAAAGAGUGUAUACGUCCAAGACACAGGCUGCAAAUUUCUCCAGGAGAACACUGUGGGAGACAGUGUUGAAGGCUUUGAUGAAGUCUAGGUAGAUUAUGUAAUCAACCGCUCCCUCAUCCACCAGGUGGGUUACUCAAUCAUAACAGAUAAGGUUGGUCAAGUACGACCUGUCUUUCAUGAACCCAUGCUGGCUGCGUCUGAUCCCCUGGUUGUCCCACUCAUGCCGUGUAAUCUCCCUCAAGAUGAUCUGCUCCAUAACCUUUCCUGGCACUGAGGUCAGGUUGAUAGACCUGUAGCUGCCUGGAUUCUCUUUACAACCCUUCUUUGUAGAUGGGAGUCACAUAGGCAAGCUUUCAAUCCUCUGGGACCUUUCCAGUUGAACAGGAAAGCUGAUAGAUGAUGGAAAAAGGCUUGGCCUGUGCCAGUUCCUUAAGCACCCACAGGUGGAUCCCAUCCGGCCCCAUGGACUUGUGACAGUCUAGGUGGAGUAGCAGGUUUCUAAUAGUUGCCACUUGAAUCACUGGGGGUUUAUUCUCUUCCCCAUCCAAGACCUCCUGGUCAGGGGGUAGAGUAUCCCGAGGAUAACUGGUCUGACUUUGAAAGACAGACAUAAAAAGGGCAUUGAGAACCUCAGCCUUUUUCUUAUCCUCAGCAGUCACAUUCCCUAGUGCAUCCAGUAAAGGAUGGAGAUUCUCCUUAGCGCUCUUCUUACUGUUAAUAUAUUUGUAAAAAAUCUUUUUGUUCUCUUUUAACCCAACAACCAAGAUGAGUUCAUCUGGGCUUUUGCCUUUCUAAUUUUCUCCCUGCACAUCCUAACAACUUCUUUGUACUCUCCUUGAGUUUCCUGUCCCUUCUUUUGCAGGAGGAAGAUUCUCUUUUUCUCCUGGAGUCUCAGGAAAACCUCCCUGUUUACCCAUGCAGAACUUCUCUGCUGGCUCAUCUUGUGGCAUAGGGGGAUAGCCUGCUCCUGUACCUUUAAGACUUCCCUCUUGAGGAGCAACCAGCUUUUCUGGAUCCCUUUAUCCUUCAGGACUGAAUUCCAAGGGAUUACCAGUGUCCUGAGCAAAUCAAAGUCUGCCCUCCAGAAGUCUAAGGUAGCAGUUUUGCUGUCUUCCUCUGCCCUGACUUCACCAAGAAUUGAAAACUCUACUGUUUCAUGGUCACUCUCUCCAAGACAACUCUCAAGCUUCACAUGUCCCACCAGUCAUUCUCUGUGAACAGCAGGUCUAGUGGAGCACCUCCCCUGGUAAGAUCUCAUACCAACUGCUCAGGAAAUUACCUUCCAUACAAUCUUGAAAUCUCCUAGACUGUUUCUUCUGUGCUGCAUUAUAUUUCUAAUACAUAUCAGGGAAUUUAAAGUGCCCCUUGAGAACAAGGGCUGGUGAUCACGCAGCUUCUGUCAGCUGCUCGUAGAAUGCCUCAUCUGUCUCUUCAUCAUGGUUCGACAAUUUAUAACAGAUCCCCACCAGGAUGUCCCUUGUUGGCCCUCCCCCUGAUCCUUACCCAUACAGACUCAACCUUAUAAUUUCCAGCCCCAGGAUCAACAACAUCAAAGCACUCUCUAACAUAGAUCCAUGCCAUCACUCCUCCUUCCUUGCUUGUCCCUUCUGAAGAGCUUAUAGCCAUCCAUUGCAGUACUCCAGUCAUGGAAGUCAUCCCACCAUGUUUCUGUAAUGGUAACUAAGUCAUAAUUUGCCUGCUGCACAAUGGCUUCCAGCUCCUAUUUUUUGCCCAUGCUGCGUGCAUUGCUGUAGACGCACUUCAACUGAGCCCCCUGCCUCACCCCCAGUACCAUCAUCACUCCCCUAGGCUCAUCUCAAGUGGGUGUGGUUUUAUCCCCUUCCUCUUUCAUACUUAGUUUAAAGACCUCUCAACGAGCCCUGCCAGAUCCUAGGCUAGGAUGCAUUUCCCCCUUUGAGACAGGUGAGACCAGCCACUAGGCCAGGUGCUGAGUAAACUGCCCAAUGAUCAAAAAACCAAAAUUAUUACAUUUGCAUCAGCCUCUCAGCUAUGUACAUGAGAUGGGUCUUCCUGCUCCUUUCAGUACCCUUCUCCUGCCAUUGAAGGGAUAGAGGAAAAUAUAAACUGUACACUGCCCCAGUCUCUUGAAGUCCUUUUUGAUAAUCCUCAGGCUUCUCUCAGCGACUUCAUUGCUGCCAGCCUGAACUAUCAAUAAAGGAUAAUAAUCAGAGAGGUGAAUCAGAUUAGGAAGUUUCCUAGACAUAUCCCUAACCCAGGUCCCAGGGAUGCAGCACACUUCCCUACAGGAAGGGUUAGGGGACAUACAGCCCCUCAGUUCCUCUCAGUGGGGAGUCACCUAUGGCGACCAUUGUUCUGUCCUUCUUGGUGGAGGCAGUCUUGAGGUGUGGAGUCAACCACCUCACUCUAGACAACCUUGUGGGUGAACCUCCCACUACAUCCUCUUUCAAGUUCCAGAACCUCAAACUAUUAUGCAAGGGCACGAAGUUAGGUUGGGAUGGGGCUUGCCUGUGAAAGCGAGCUGGGACCUGUUUCCACUCCUCCUCUUUCCUUAAAUCACCUCUCUCUGCUUGAAAAUGACAGAGGAGAGCAUCCACCACUGUUUGGGGGGUAUCACCUCAGUGUCUUUCUUGCUCCACCAAUCUAUCUCCUGCUCUCAUUCUCUGAUACUGCUUAAUCUCUCCACAUCUUCCUUGAGAUUCACCACCACACUGAGUAGAUCACCCACCUGCUCACACAAGUGGAGUCCCUGCUGCCCUUUGUCAGCAGCAACAGGCUCAGGCUCUUGCUGCAGUCAGGGACUUGAACUGCCACAUAUUUAGGCAAGCACUCCAUGAGUUGCCACAUUCUUUCUUGCCAGAGCUUUCUGCGUAGUGGUGACCAUAGCUAGAUUUGCUGUCUGGGAGGCAGCUGAUAGGUAAAACAUUCUCCUAAGUGGGCAGAGAUACUCUCCUUCCUUGCAUAGCCUGCUCUCCUACCCUGUGUGAACUGUCUGCACAAAUUGCUGCUCCACAUCCUUCUGAUGUGCCAUGCCCUGUUUACCCAUCCUGUUUGCAUCACUCCUGGGUCUCUGCUCCUUAGUGGCACGUUUUAUACAUGCAGGGGGUGAUCCUGCCACUGCUCCUGGCUCCACCCCUGUGAUGUCAGAAAGCCGAUGCCAUGCAGAGCACAAUGGCACCUGGCAGCUGUUCUACGACAGAACUGCCCUUCAACCAACUGAGGCAAUUCCCUGCUUCAGCGUGGAAAGCAUCUGCUCCAGACCUGAGCGCCUUGCCAUAAAGAGAAAACUGGAAGACUGCAGAAAGACAUACUAGGAAAGAGGAAGCACAGAAAAUCUAGAAUCCCUCACAUAAUUCAGCUAAUUUCAUUGUCAGAAAUGUUGAAAAAAUAACAAAAAUGUUGAAGAAAAUUGAACGAUCCAGAUGGUAUUGGCUUGUGUAGAAAAUUGUGAGUUUUUAUUAUUCUUCUUAUUAUUAAAAGAUUAAUGAAUAAAGGUUCAAAGUUUGUGAAGAACUGCAAUGAUAAAGAGGACAAAGAGGUGUGACACGUGAAAUAACAACUAGAGCAAUAAAUGGAAUUCAGGUAAAAUGUCUUAAAACCUACAUACAAGUAUUGAAAUUCUACUGGCACUAAUGUGUCAUAUUUACACCUACGUCCAGAAAGUCA
Molecule: non-coding RNA, 3871 nt
Organism: Meleagris gallopavo (turkey)
Lineage: Eukaryota; Metazoa; Chordata; Aves; Galliformes; Phasianidae
Source: RefSeq, a predicted model, not a curated record